CUGGACAAAUAAAAGUUUCCUGCUUGGGUCACAAUUACUCAAAUAUGAGCCUUUUCAAUGCUUUCUUUUUUAUGUACUAUUUAUUUGAUCAACAACCUAUGUGAAGUACUUUACGGAGCAACCAUGCUGUAGUGCCUUAUAUACAAUUAAUCACCUUCUAUUCAUAGAUGACAGACAAUAUUCCAGAGCAGGUGGUACGAGCUUCAUGUAUGUUGCUGAUUCAUAAGAGACAGACUUGGGUGCAGGUGACGUAGUCCUUGGAAUGCUUCCUUUAGAAUAGAAAUUUCUAGGCCAUGGAGUUAAUAUAUAAAUUGAAAUUAAGACAAGAAGAAUGCAUUUAGUUAGGUUUACUCUACAUUGUACUUUGAUUUAAAAAGAAACAUGUUUUGUUGUUUCAUGAGAUUGAAUCAUGGGCUGUGACCAAGCAAUAUAUUGCAUGCUCAUAGUGUGUUUUAUUUACAUUUGUGUUCUCCUACAUGGAAAAUAUAGACUUAAUGCCAGAUUGGAAAUUACAUUUUAUUUGUGUCACCCAGAAGGUCCAGAAUUGAUAGAAAUAUGACCUUUAUUUGUCCAUGAGCAAUCUUUUCAAAUAACCAUUUAAUGAUUACCUCUUUCUAUUGCUACUCAGAUGCUUAGCAUAAGCCAAUAAAAAAAUACUAGGUAGUUCUGGUUAUAAAUUAAUUGUCGGUUUAUAAUCAUAUUACGGGUACUCGGAUGCUUAGCAUAAGCCAAUAAAAUAAUAUUAGGUAGUCAUUAUUAUAAAUUAAUUGUCGGCUUAUAAUCAUAUUACGGGUACUCAGAUGCUUAGCAUAAGCCAAUAAAAUAAUACUAGGUAGUUCUGGUUAUAAAUUAAUUGUCGGCUUAUAAUCAUAUUACGGGUACUCGGAUGCUUAGCAUAAGCCAAUAAAAUAAUAUUAGGUAGUACUGAUUAUAAAUUAAUUGUCGGCUUAUAAUCAUAUUACGGGUACUCAGAUGCUUAUCAUAAGCCAAUAAACAUUGUGAAAUAACCAUUCAAUGAUUCAUUUUUCUAUAUCAGGAAAUUACAUUUUAUUUGUGUCACCUAGAAGGUUCUGAACUGAUAGAAAUGUGAUCUUUAUUUGUCCAUGAGCAAUCUUGUCAAAUAACCAUUUAAUGAUUACCUCUUUCUACUCCUACUACGCACAUACACCACCGCCAACCAUCCUCCCGAAACAGUCGCUCGGCUAAUAUGGUGUUUCCAUGCUGAUCGCACUUUUGUUCUUGCUAUUAUGAUAGCUAAGUAUGAAACUCGGGGUUUAGAAGCUUGAGAAAUUGUAUCUGGACAUGGCCUUGCAAAAAGAAGUUAGGUGCAUUCUCUAUAAAGGGCAACCUGGUGCAUGUAGCUCCCGCUUGCGCAGGGUCCAGGGAAGGGUCCGACCACUUUGGGUCUAUAGUACGCAGCCUUUCCCUACAUUUCUGUAAGAGGCUGUUUCCAGGACUUGAACCCAUGACCUCAUGGUCACAAGGCAGCAGCUUUACCACUGCGCCAAGGCUCCCCUUCAGGUGCAUUCUCUAUGAGAAACUGAAAAUAUAUAUUUUCUUAAAUUAGGUCAGGUCUAUAUACUAUCUUUGGUAACUGAAAUUGUUAUGCUUAUAUUGAAAAUAAUUUGAAAUUUACAAGGCAGUGGAGCCAGUUCAUAUUUUGUGAUCAACCAAAGUGCAAGCAACCUAAAUUAGUAAUCUUCGAAUAAACUGGCUUAUAAAUUUUUGAUGGUUUUGUCAAUAGUACAGUAGCACUGGAUAUUCUGCUAUUUCUUAUAUUUAGAAUUUGCGCUGACCUGAUUACUACUGUGCCAUGCAG
Molecule: long non-coding RNA, 1819 nt
Filed under: Triticum aestivum (bread wheat)
Lineage: Eukaryota; Viridiplantae; Streptophyta; Magnoliopsida; Poales; Poaceae
Description: long non-coding RNA (TAES_LNC001639)
Source: RNAcentral